This 1593-nucleotide long non-coding RNA is filed under the name Phaseolus vulgaris (common bean). RNAcentral's name for it is "long non-coding RNA (PVUL_LNC001872)". The record is from RNAcentral. Lineage: Eukaryota; Viridiplantae; Streptophyta; Magnoliopsida; Fabales; Fabaceae.
UUCAAUUGGGGAUAUAUAAUCAACAUCAACCUCGUUCCUCUUCCCCACUCACACUCUCUCUAUUUCCCCAUCCCAAUUUUUCAUGGCCCUAACCAUCUCUUCUCCAAAUCUUCUCUCCUAAAUCAACACUUGUUUCUGUUAGUAAGCUGCAUCUACUAUGAUUCUCUGUUUCUCAUGUACUGAAACAGAGAAUACGAAAAGAUGCCAAAUCAACAGGUUCCUCAAUGGACUGGCAUAGUCCCAAUUUUAAUAGGCUUUUGCUAUUUCUCGUAGGAUUCACAAUUUCUAAUCUUUUCUACAAUUUUUGCUCUUCUCCUUUCUGGGUCUCGGUUUUCAUUUUCCAAAAUUAAGAAAUAAGGUUUUUUCUUUUCAAUUUUUAUUACUCUUUCAGGCUUCUGGGUUUCAAUUAUUAUUUCUCAUAAUUUAGGGAUUCAUGGGCGAAGUUGCAUCUUUGUUUGACUUGAGUUGUUUUAUGUUAUUCUUUUUUAUGUUUUUUUGAUCUGGUUGUAUAUAUAGAUGUGAUUGCUCGAUGAUGAUUCUUUUUGCUUUAACCACACCGAAGAGAUGCUGGGUAGGGUUUCAGGGCUCAUUUCCAUUAAGGGUUGAUGUGUUCUUAUUGUGCUUGGGUUAGCCUGGUGACUUCAACUUCUAACUUAAGAGGUAUUUGGUUACCUCUUCUUUUAGAGAUUGGGAGAGGGCUUUUUCAAGCACUUUGAGGGGACUCACUUAAACUGGAGGGGUCUUUACCUAUCUCAAGUUUUCUCAUGUGGAAAAAACUGGCCUUUGACUGAGAGCAAUCAACCACCACAACUACUCUUUAUAUUUUGAAUUUUGAUUCCCUUGUAAUUUUUAACUGUUGAUUUGUCUCAUGGUGUUAUUGUGGAUCUUUUAAAGAGAAGAUUCAAUUGAAUUGUUUUGGUCUCUGCAGGUAGAUCUCAGAAGAAUGUUGGGAUGCUAUCACAAGGGAAAACUAACAUUUUGAUGCAUUUUAUAAUCACAAUGUCAUAUAAUUAUGAAUGAAUAUGAAUAAAGGUGCUGCAGUUGUUUUUUUUUAUUCUUUUUAUGAAACAUCAAUUUUGAUUAUAUAAUUAAAAGUUAGAAAAUUAGAUGCGGUAUGAUGAAUUGGUAGUUGAUCAAGGUGUCGUAAACAAUUUAGAACCUCUUUUUGAAGAUCGUAAGAUUAUUAUACAAUCAAAAUUUAGAAUACUCUUGAAGUUUAAUUAAAACUGAAAGAUAUUUAAAAUAACUUCUUUUAAAAUAGCUCUAUGUCUAUAAACAAACGUAUAGAGUUUCUGACUUUUUUUAAAAAAAAAAACUACUAAUUUAUAUUCAGAAAAUAAUGUAUUUUAGUCUAGUAAUAGAAUCCAAAUAAAUUUACAUUACUUUAAAAUUUUGGACUAAAUUUAUCAAUUUGAAUGUAAGGAUACAAAAUAUAAAUCUUGACAGGAAGAUUUACUAAAUAAUCAUUUUCUGAAACAAUAAGGUGUACUGCUACAAGCGAACCUAAAAUCAGUUAUAGUUUUAUAUUGGUAUUGUUUAACACCAUGAGACACUAUAGUGUUACAAUCUAAGUAUAUUCGUAUGGUGUUACAG